CCCUUAGAUGUUCUGGGCUGCACGCGCGCUACACUGAAGCUAUCAACACGUUUUCCCUCCCUGAGAAGGGCGGGUAGCCUUUUGAAUCAGCUUCGUGGUAGGGAUCGGGGCUUGCAAUUGUUCCCCGUGAACCAGGAAUUCCUAGUAGACGCGAGUCAUAAGCUCGCAUCGAUUAAGUCCCUGCCCUUUGUACACACCGCCCGUCGCUACUACCGAUUGAACGUUUUAGUGAGGCAUUUGGACCGACGCAUCUCAGUUUAACCGCUGGUUUGUGUUGGAAAGACUUCCAAACUUGGGCGUUUAGAGGAAGUAAAAGUCGUAACA
RNAcentral lists this ribosomal RNA (324 nucleotides) under uncultured eukaryote. RNAcentral describes it as "partial 18S ribosomal RNA". It matches the Rfam family "Eukaryotic small subunit ribosomal RNA", at positions 1470 to 1796 of the family's 1831-position model. The record is from RNAcentral.